GGAUGCAAUCGCCUUGUAAUUAGUUCUGAUAAUUUGGAGGUUAUCAAAACUAUGAAUAAUGGCGGACGGUCAGCCGGAGCGGCGGCGGCAAUUUUUGAUGAUUGCUAUUUUUUAGCAUGUGAUUUUUCUAUAUCUUGGUUUCAUUGUAAUAGGGAAGCCAAUAAGAUUACGCACGAGAUUGCUAGGUUGGCUAGAUUUUCUUCUGCAGUUGAUUGGUUUGAGGAGCCUAUGAUCGAAACUGUACCUUUCCUCAGAAACGAUGUGUCUGUUAUUUUGGUUGAAUAA
RNAcentral lists this ribosomal RNA (285 nucleotides) under Triticum aestivum (bread wheat). Its description in RNAcentral is "partial small subunit ribosomal RNA". The record is from RNAcentral. Lineage: Eukaryota; Viridiplantae; Streptophyta; Magnoliopsida; Poales; Poaceae.